CCUACGGGAGGCAGCAGUGGGGAAUAUUGCACAAUGGGGGAAACCCUGAUGCAGCGACGCCGCGUGAGUGAAGAAGUAUUUCGGUAUUUAAAGCUCUAUCAGCAGGAACGAGACAAGACGGUACCUGACUAAGAAGCCCCGGCUAACUACGUGCCAGCAGCCGCGGUAAUACGUAGGGGGCAAGCGUUAUCCGGAAUCACUGGGUGUAAAGGGAGCGUAGACGGCUGAGGAAGCCUGAAGUGAAAGGCGGGGGCCCAACCCCAGGACUGCUUUGGGAACUGGACGGCUGGAGUGCAGGUGAGGUAAGUGGAAUUCCUAGUGUAGCGGUGAAAUGCGUAGAUAUUAGGAAGAACACCAGUGGCGAAGGCAGCUUACUGGACUAUAACUGACGUUGAGGCUCGAAAGCGUGGGGAGCAAACAGGAUUAGAUACCCUGGUAGUC
This 441-nucleotide ribosomal RNA is filed under the name uncultured bacterium. RNAcentral's name for it is "partial 16S ribosomal RNA". It matches the Rfam family "Bacterial small subunit ribosomal RNA", at positions 338 to 795 of the family's 1533-position model. The record is from RNAcentral.